Molecule: ribosomal RNA, 776 nt
Filed under: uncultured Neocallimastigales
Lineage: Eukaryota; Fungi; Neocallimastigomycota; Neocallimastigomycetes; Neocallimastigales
Description: partial large subunit ribosomal RNA
Rfam family: Eukaryotic large subunit ribosomal RNA
Source: RNAcentral
AGAGAUGUGUGAUGACGCAUAUCAAUAAGCGGAGGAAAAGAAACUAACAAGGAUUCCCUUAGUAACGGCGAGUGAGGCGGGAAGAGCUCAAAUUUGAAAUCUUCAAGGUUCUACCUUGACGAAUUGUAGUUUAAAGAAGUGUUUUCUGUUAGUGGAGUGGCAAAAGUUCUUUGGAAUAGGACAUCAUAGAGGGUGAGAAUCCCGUAUUUGGUCAUUCCUUCUAGCUCUGUGAUACACUUUCAAAGAGUCGGAUUGUUUGGGAAUGCAGUCCAAAAUGGGUGGUAAAUUUCAUCUAAAGCUAAAUAUUGGCGAGAGACCGAUAGCGAACAAGUACCGUGAGGGAAAGAUGAAAAGAACUUUGAAAAGAGAGUUAAACAGUACGUGAAAUUGUCAAAAGGGAAGCGUUUGACACCAGUGUUGUUUUUCCGAAAAUCAAUUACGAAUGUUUUAUUUUUGAGAAGUUAUGACUUCAUCGGCUUGCUUCUCUCUUUAUGAAACUUUCUUAAUGCACUUUUCGGUUAACAAGUCAACAUCAAUUUCUUUUGUUGUAAAAGGGUAUGAGGAAGGUGGCUUUCUUUUCGGAGAAAGUGUUUAUAGCCCUGUUACCUUCUGCAAUCGGAGAGAUUGAGGUCUGCAGCGUAGAUCCUUCGGGGUUAGAUACAUUUGUGCUAAGUUAUAGCUUUUCAUAGACAACUUGUUGAUUAUGUUUAGUCUUGUAGCUUACUCGCUUAUGCUAUUUUACCUACGCUUAGGAUGUUGACGAUCAGCUGAGCGCG